UAGGUGACCUGCGGAGGAUCAUUGUCGAAUGCCAAGYAGAAAGACCUGCGAACAUGUUAUGUAUACUUCCGGAAAAAAUUGAGCGGUGGACCUAGUUGUCGCCUUCUAUUUGUUCCUUCUCAAGUGGGUGCAAGGUCCUUCUGGAAACUUGUUCAUUCACUUGUCAAAUAACGAAACCCGGCGCAAACCGCGCCAAGGAAAAUCUUGGAAAAAAAUGCACGCCUACACCCAUUCGUGGGCUGUGGCGCUCGCAUAUUUCGUAAAACUAAACGACUCUCGGCAACGGAUAUCUCGGCUCUUGCAUCGAUGAAGAACGUAGCGAAAUGCGAUACUUGGUGUGAAUUGCAGAAUCCCGUGAACCAUCGAGUCUUUGAACGCAAGUUGCGCCUGAAGCCAUUAGGUUGAAGGCACGUCUGCCUGGGCGUCACGCAUCCCGUCACCCACCAGCCUUGUCCUUCCAUGGGCACAUGAAUGCGUGGGUGGAUAUUGGCCUCCCGUGCACGUUCGUGCUUGGUUGGUCUAAAAACGCAGUCCCCGACGACGGACAUCACAACUAGUGGUGGUUGUUUAACUGUUGCGUAAUGUUGUGUAUGCCAUUGUUGUUGUGGGUUGUUGCUCCUUUGACCCAAAAGUAACAUACAAAUGUUACCUUGAUUGCGACCCCAGGUCAGGUGGGAUUACCCGCUGAGUUUAAGCAUAUCA
This 702-nucleotide ribosomal RNA is filed under the name Arctostaphylos uva-ursi. RNAcentral describes it as "eukaryotic LSU rRNA". The record is from RNAcentral. Lineage: Eukaryota; Viridiplantae; Streptophyta; Magnoliopsida; Ericales; Ericaceae.